CAGCAUGAGUAGCAAUACUUGAUGGCGACCGGCAAACGGGUGAGGAACACGUACACAACCUCCUUCAAGCGGGGAAUAGCCCAGAGUAAAUUGGAUUAAUACCCAUAAUAUAUUUGAUAAGGCAUCUUAUUAAUAUUAAAGCUUCGGCACUUGAUGAUGGGUGUGCGGCUGAUUAGAUAGUUGGCGGGUAACGGCCCACCAAGUCUACGAUCAGUAGCUGAUGUGAGAGCAUGAUCAGCCACACGGGCACUGAGACACGGGCCCGACUCCUACGGGAGGCAGCAGUAAGGAAUAUUGGACAAUGGACGAAAGUCUGAUCCAGCCAUGCCGCGUGAAGGAUUAAGGUCCUCUGGAUUGUAAACUUCUUUUAUAUGGGACGAAAAAAGGGCAUUCUUGUUCACUUGACGGUACCAUAUGAAUAAGCACCGGCUAACUCCGUG
Molecule: ribosomal RNA, 440 nt
Filed under: uncultured bacterium
Lineage: Bacteria
Description: bacterial SSU rRNA
Rfam family: Bacterial small subunit ribosomal RNA
Source: RNAcentral